AAGAUGAGCAGUGUGAAAUUCUUGCAUGUCAUCAAUCAGAGUUUCUUCUCCAUGAUUUUACCCUUGCCUAUGCCCUUAUUGUCAUGUGACAGGAAAUCAAUGGUGAUGAAUAUCACCUGUUUCCUUUCUUCCUACAAUUAUCAAUACUUCAGAAGCUUUUAUAUAGGCAUUUACUAUUAAUAUAAACUUUUUUUUUAUUUUAUUUACUUUUUUUGUCCCCAUCAAUUGCUACGUUUUAUUACCCUAAAUUUUGAUGAGACUCCAA
This 265-nucleotide unclassified non-coding RNA is filed under the name Hevea brasiliensis (rubber tree). Lineage: Eukaryota; Viridiplantae; Streptophyta; Magnoliopsida; Malpighiales; Euphorbiaceae. The record is from RNAcentral.